This 83-nucleotide transfer RNA is filed under the name Pseudomonadota bacterium. RNAcentral describes it as "tRNA-Leu". RNAcentral also lists the same sequence under 1 other name. Lineage: Bacteria; Pseudomonadati; Pseudomonadota. The record is from RNAcentral.
GCCCCCGUGGUGGAAUUGGCAUACACAGUAGGUUGAGGGCCUAUGCCCGUUCGGGCGUGCCCGUUCGAGUCGGGCCGGGGGCA